This is a non-coding RNA of Tetradesmus obliquus, 92 nucleotides long. The record is from the annotation of a GenBank genome assembly. NCBI's taxonomy places the organism in Eukaryota, Viridiplantae, Chlorophyta, Chlorophyceae, Sphaeropleales, Scenedesmaceae.
GCGUUCGUAGUGUAGUGGCUAUCAUCCUACCCUCCCAACGAGGGAGAUUCUGGAGACCGGUAGGGACCCGGGUUCGAUUCCCGGCGGACGCA